This 288-nucleotide long non-coding RNA is filed under the name Olea europaea (common olive). Its description in RNAcentral is "long non-coding RNA (OEUR_LNC003824)". Lineage: Eukaryota; Viridiplantae; Streptophyta; Magnoliopsida; Lamiales; Oleaceae. The record is from RNAcentral.
CUUCAUCCUUGUGACCGCCGGGCAACCUCUCCUUUAUCUUUUCUUUCAGCCCCUUCUUUCUCCUCCCUCCCAUCCCAUCAUCCUCCGAAGACUGCACAUAAAUAAGAGGUAAACAAUUCAUCAGAUAAUAUUUGAUAUCUCGUAACUGUAUUCUGAAUUUGUAGAGAACCUGCAGAUAUAUAUGACAAAUUUGUUUAAAGGGUUUUUACCGAGCUGCUGGAGCUUCCAGAGCGCCGGUGUUGCCCAGUUAGGCCUGCUCCGGUAGUGCCCGGAACAUUUCCACCAUGA